GGCUGGUCCGAAGGAAGUGAGUUACCUCAGUUGAUGGGUCACAGUCAGUUACAGAUCAACCUCCUUGUCCUACUCUUUCCCCUCAUCUGACUAUUGUAUUUCACUAGUCUUAA
Molecule: unclassified non-coding RNA, 113 nt
Organism: Gorilla gorilla gorilla (western lowland gorilla)
Lineage: Eukaryota; Metazoa; Chordata; Mammalia; Primates; Hominidae
Rfam family: Y RNA
About the family: Y RNAs are components of the Ro ribonucleoprotein particle (Ro RNP), in association with Ro60 and La proteins. The Y RNAs and Ro60 and La proteins are well conserved, but the function of the Ro RNP is not known.
Source: Ensembl